AUGCAGUCGAGCGCCCCGCAAGGGGAGCGGCGGACGGGUGAGUAACGCGUGGGAACGUGCCUCUUGCUACGGAAUAGCCUCGGGAAACUGGGAGUAAUACCGUAUAAGCCCUACGGGGGAAAGAUUUAUCGGCAAGAGAUCGGCCCGCGUUGGAUUAGGUAGUUGGUGGGGUAAUGGCCUACCAAGCCGACGAUCCAUAGCUGGUUUGAGAGGAUGAUCAGCCACACUGGGACUGAGACACGGCCCAGACUCCUACGGGAGGCAGCAGUGGGGAAUCUUAGACAAUGGGCGCAAGCCUGAUCUAGCCAUGCCGCGUGAGCGAUGAAGGCCUUAGGGUUGUAAAGCUCUUUCGUGGGGGAAGAUAAUGACUGUACCCCAAGAAGAAGCCCCGGCUAACUCCGUGCCAGCAGCCGCGGUAAUACGGAGGGGGCUAGCGUUGUUCGGAAUUACUGGGCGUAAAGCGCGCGUAGGCGGACUGGAAAGUCAGAGGUGAAAUCCCAGGGCUCAACCUUGGAACUGCCUUUGAAACUCCCAGUCUUGAGGUCGAGAGAGGUGAGUGGAAUUCCGAGUGUAGAGGUGAAAUUCGUAGAUAUUCGGA
Molecule: ribosomal RNA, 598 nt
Filed under: uncultured bacterium
Lineage: Bacteria
Description: bacterial SSU rRNA
Rfam family: Bacterial small subunit ribosomal RNA
Source: RNAcentral